GAUGAACGCUGGCGGCGUGCUUAACACAUGCAAGUCGAACGGGAAACCUUUUAUUGAAGCUUCGGCAGAUUUAGCUGGUUUCUAGUGGCGGACGGGUGAGUAACGCGUGGGUAACCUGCCUUAUACAGGGGGAUAACAACCAGAAAUGGUUGCUAAUACCGCAUAAGCGCACAGGACCGCAUGGUCCGGUGUGAAAAACUCCGGUGGUAUAAGAUGGACCCGCGUUGGAUUAGCUAGUUGGCAGGGUAACGGCCUACCAAGGCGACGAUCCAUAGCCGGCCUGAGAGGGUGAACGGCCACAUUGGGACUGAGACACGGCCCAGACUCCUACGGGAGGCAGCAGUGGGGAAUAUUGCACAAUGGGGGAAACCCUGAUGCAGCGACGCCGCGUGAAGGAAGAAGUAUCUCGGUAUGUAAACUUCUAUCAGCAGGGAAGAUAGUGACGGUACCUGACUAAGAAGCCCCGGCUAACUACGUGC
This 479-nucleotide ribosomal RNA is filed under the name uncultured bacterium. Its description in RNAcentral is "bacterial SSU rRNA". It matches the Rfam family "Bacterial small subunit ribosomal RNA", at positions 28 to 508 of the family's 1533-position model. The record is from RNAcentral.